RNAcentral lists this ribosomal RNA (163 nucleotides) under Triticum urartu. RNAcentral's name for it is "5.8S ribosomal RNA". It matches the Rfam family "5.8S ribosomal RNA". From Rfam's summary of the family: 5.8S ribosomal RNA (5.8S rRNA) is a component of the large subunit of the eukaryotic ribosome. The record is from RNAcentral. Lineage: Eukaryota; Viridiplantae; Streptophyta; Magnoliopsida; Poales; Poaceae.
CACACGACUCUCGGCAACGGAUAUCUCGGCUCUCGCAUCGAUGAAGAACGUAGCGAAAUGCGAUACCUUGUGUAAUUGCAGAAUCCCGCGAACCAUCGAGUCUUUGAACGCAAGUUGCGCCCGAGGCCACCCGGCCGAGGGCACGCCUGCCUGGGCGUCACGC